Molecule: ribosomal RNA, 253 nt
Filed under: uncultured bacterium
Lineage: Bacteria
Description: partial 16S ribosomal RNA
Rfam family: Bacterial small subunit ribosomal RNA
Source: RNAcentral
UACGGAGGGAGCUAGCGUUGUUCGGAUAUACUGGGCGUAAAGCGCACGUAGGCGGCGCCGUAAGUCAGGGGUGAAAUCCCGGAGCUCAACUCCGGAACUGCCCUUGAAACUGCAGUGCUAGAAUCCUGGAGAGGCGAGUGGAAUUCCGAGUGUAGAGGUGAAAUUCGUAGAUAUUCGGAAGAACACCAGUGGCGAAGGCGACUCGCUGGACAGGUAUUGACGCUGAGGAGCGAAAGCUAGGGGAGCAAACGGG